RNAcentral lists this transfer RNA (74 nucleotides) under Caenorhabditis brenneri. RNAcentral describes it as "tRNA-Ile (GAT) (tRNA-Ile-GAT-1-1)". It matches the Rfam family "tRNA". From Rfam's summary of the family: Transfer RNA (tRNA) molecules are approximately 80 nucleotides in length. Their secondary structure includes four short double-helical elements and three loops (D, anti-codon, and T loops). The record is from RNAcentral. Lineage: Eukaryota; Metazoa; Nematoda; Chromadorea; Rhabditida; Rhabditidae.
GUCGCCAUAGCUCAGUUGGUUAGAGCGUGGGUUUGAUUCACCCAAGGUCGCAGGUUCGAUCCCUGCUGGCGGCA